ACCAAUUAAGAGCUCCAUCUUACAAAUCCGUGUGACUUUCUUUUAUUUCCAUUGAAAUUAACAUCACGAUUAUGUGUUCGUUUCUCUAUAUAUAUAUGUGUUCGUUUCUCUCUUUCUAUAUAUAAACAAAAAAACAAAAAAAACAAAAAAAAAUUAUACUUACAAAAAUGUAUAAGGUUUGCUUACUAACGUUGAGUUUUAUGUUGCUCUCUGGAUUAUCAUCAAACACAGCAGAGGCUCGAGUACUACCAUACGAAUCUCCAAACCCCAAAAUAGGAGAAGCGGUUUGGGAUCUAAAGGUGACCAAAGAGAUCAAGGCUGAGGUAGAUAGAAGUUGUUCGUCAUCUGCAGGACAGGGGGAUUCAGGUGGAAGAGGGGCACCCAAUAGACCAGGCUCCCGAAAACGUUGUAGACCUUAGCAAUAGUUAGUUCAAGCUUAGAUUGAGAAGAAUAUGAAACUUAUGUGCCAUUUUGUCCUAUUAAUAAACUUAAAAGUCAUUGCUUUACAUAAAAACAUUAAACCAGAAUGAGACAAAUGAUUUGAGUUGA
Non-coding RNA from Camelina sativa (false flax), 549 nucleotides. NCBI's taxonomy places the organism in Eukaryota, Viridiplantae, Streptophyta, Magnoliopsida, Brassicales, Brassicaceae. The record is from RefSeq and is a predicted model, not a curated record.